GCCCGGAUGGUGAAAUUGGUAGACACAAGGGACUUAAAAUCCCUCGGCGCAAGCCAUGCCGGUUCGAUUCCGGCUCCGGGCACCA
RNAcentral lists this transfer RNA (85 nucleotides) under Rhodocyclaceae bacterium. Its description in RNAcentral is "tRNA-Leu". It matches the Rfam family "tRNA". From Rfam's summary of the family: Transfer RNA (tRNA) molecules are approximately 80 nucleotides in length. Their secondary structure includes four short double-helical elements and three loops (D, anti-codon, and T loops). Lineage: Bacteria; Pseudomonadati; Pseudomonadota; Betaproteobacteria; Rhodocyclales; Rhodocyclaceae. The record is from RNAcentral. RNAcentral also lists the same sequence under 1 other name.